UACGUAGGGUGCAAGCGUUAAUCGGAAUUACUGGGCGUAAAGCGUGCGCAGGCGGUUUUGUAAGUCUGUCGUGAAAGCCCCGGGCUCAACCUGGGAAUUGCGAUGAAGACUGCAAGGCUAGAAUCUGGCAGAGGGGGGUAGAAUUCCACGUGUAGCAGUGAAAUGCGUAGAGAUGUGGAGGAACACCGAUGGCGAAGGCAGCCCCUUGGGUCAAGAUUGACGCUCAUGCACGAAAGCGUGGGGAGCAAACAGG
This 253-nucleotide ribosomal RNA is filed under the name uncultured bacterium. RNAcentral describes it as "partial 16S ribosomal RNA". It matches the Rfam family "Bacterial small subunit ribosomal RNA", at positions 524 to 776 of the family's 1533-position model. The record is from RNAcentral.